GUCGCUCACGAGGUCGCGCCUCGCACCCGCCUUCCUCCUUUUCUUUUACCCUCCCCUUCAGAAAAAACGGCGGUUGGGCUGCGACGGCCGCCAAAGGCGGACUAGAAGCGGAGGGGUGAAAAUCCCGGCAGAGAAGGAAGAAGGGACUGCAGGCGGGAGGAGGAGGAGGAUAAGGAGGAAGGGAGCCCGCCCAGCCGGAGCCAUCUCCGUCGAGAACAAAAUGGCGGCGCUGGCGGAGGGCCAACUAUAAGGCGGGGCCGCGGCCAUUCCCCCUCCACCCCCACCCUUGCGCCGGCCGGGCCGGUCAGGGGGAACCCGCUCGCUUCGCCCGGCCGCGGGCGGGGAGGGGAGGGGAGCGGCCCGGCCCACUAUGCAAAGCGCCGGGCGCCGCCGCCGCCACCCCGUGGCAAAGGUCGAGGGGUUAAUGCUCUGGAAGACGGAUGAAAAGGCACUGCCCGAGAAGCGGGGUGAAGACAGCGGGAAGCUCAUGCUCACAGGCCGCUCUGUAACUGAAAGAAGCCACAUGGAAGGGAGAAUCCACAUAUUGGAAAAUGGUGCCCGAACCUCUGUUUCCUCCCUCCAUGGAGUGAAUAACUCCCUCCAGGGAAAGCGGUUUCAGGCAUGAACCAUGGACCACAGAGAAGCCACUGGAGCCUGGGGAGAAGCCACCAGGCCACUUGGAAGAAGGCAAGUGGUCCCCAGGUUACCUCUCAUCAGGCCCGGGACAGCCCUGCCCCGCUUCUUCAGCUCCCCGAAGCAGCCGUCGCAGACCUUGGCCAUCCUGUCCUUCAGCAACAGAAUUGGCUGAGUAAUGUGGAAUGUGGCCAGGAGACCAGCCAGAUGCAGAGCCCAGUGAGCCCUGCCCUGCGUCUCUGUGCAGGGUGUGUGAUGUGUGGCUUCCCAGACAGUCAUCCAACAGGCACUUUCCAAGUCCCUGCUCUGCACCAGGGAGGGCUUCCUGAGUGGCAAGAGCUACGCCUGGGCUGGGUGCCAGCUAGCUGGGUGAAGUUCUCACAGUGUCCACUAGAUGCCGCGCCUACACCACAGGGUCUCACUAUGUUGCCCAGGCUGGUCCCAAACUCCUGGCCUCAAGUAAUCCUUCAGCCUCAGCCUCCCAGAUUGAUGGAAUUACAGGUAUAAGCCACCAUGCCCCACCUAAUAAAUGAUUUUAAUGAGAAAAUGCA
Homo sapiens (human) is the source of this 1184-nucleotide long non-coding RNA. Ensembl annotates it as FGD5 antisense RNA 1. Its record names the gene FGD5-AS1. The record is from Ensembl. Lineage: Eukaryota; Metazoa; Chordata; Mammalia; Primates; Hominidae.